Molecule: ribosomal RNA, 497 nt
Filed under: uncultured bacterium
Lineage: Bacteria
Description: partial 16S ribosomal RNA
Rfam family: Bacterial small subunit ribosomal RNA
Source: RNAcentral
GAUGAACGCUGGCGGCGUGCCUAAUACAUGCAAGUCGAGCGAACAGAUGAGGAGCUUGCUCCUCUGACGUUAGCGGCGGACGGGUGAGUAACACGUGGAUAACCUACCUAUAAGACUGGGAUAACUUCGGGAAACCGGAGCUAAUACCGGAUAAUAUAUUGAACCGCAUGGUUCAAUAGUGAAAGACGGUUUUGCUGUCACUUAUAGAUGGAUCCGCGCCGCAUUAGCUAGUUGGUAAGGUAACGGCUUACCAAGGCAACGAUGCGUAGCCGACCUGAGAGGGUGAUAGGCCACCCUGGAGCUGGGCCACGCUCCAGACUCCUGCGGGAGGCAGCAGAAGGGAAUCUUCCGCAAUGGGCGAAAGCCUGACGGAGCAACGCCGCGUGAGUGAUGAAGGUCUUCGGAUCGUAAAACUCUGUUAUGAGGGAAGAACAAAUGUGGAAGUAACUAUGCACGUCUUGACGGUACCUAAUCAGAAAGCCACGGCUAACUACGUG